RNAcentral lists this ribosomal RNA (409 nucleotides) under uncultured bacterium. Its description in RNAcentral is "bacterial SSU rRNA". It matches the Rfam family "Bacterial small subunit ribosomal RNA", at positions 8 to 445 of the family's 1533-position model. The record is from RNAcentral.
AGAGUUUGAUCCUGGCUCAGAACGAACGCUGGCGGCAUGCCUAACACAUGCAAGUCGAACGAUGGCUUCGGCCAUAGUGGCGCACGGGUGCGUAACGCGUGGGAACCUGCCCUUAGGUUCGGAAUAACUCAGAGAAAUUUGAGCUAAUACCGGAUAAUGUCUUCGGACCAAAGAUUUAUCGCCUUUGGAUGGGCCCGCGUAGGAUUAGGUAGUUGGUGGGGUAAUGGCCUACCAAGCCGACGAUCCUUAGCUGGUCUGAGAGGAUGAUCAGCCACACUGGGACUGAGACACGGCCCAGACUCCUACGGGAGGCAGCAGUGGGGAAUAUUGAACAAUGGGGGAAACCCUGAUCCAGCAAUGCCGCGUGAGUGAUGAAGGCCUUAGGGUUGUAAAGCUCUUUUACCCGGGA